CGUAAUGGAAAAACCAAAAAUUGAACAAAUAAUUUGAAAUUAAAAGCUACAAGAAAAGGGGAUUGAUUCUUUUUGUUCCGUAAAAGCUACUAAAAAUAUAUAUACCUUUCUUGGGUUUGUUAGUGUGAAGCUUCGGCUCUUCGCUCAUUGUUGAAAAACCUCUGCUAAUUUUUUUUCUUCUCUCUAGGUAUUGGGGACCGGAAAUUGCUUACAAAUUUUCAGAUGAAUCCAUCAAUGGAUAGUUUUCUUCAUUUCUUUUUCAUUUCAUAGGGUUCUUGGGAAAAAACUCUUGGGGGCGAUGAACAAGCAACUGAUUAGAAAGCUACUAAAAAUAUAUAUACCUUUCUUGGGUUUGUUAGUGUGAAGCUUCGGCUCUUCGCUCAUUGUUGAAAAACCUCUGCUAAUUUUUUUUCUUCUCUCUAGGUAUUGGGGACCGGAAAUUGCUUACAAAUUUUCAGAUGAAUCCAUCAAUGGAUAGUUUUCUUCAUUUCUUUUUCAUUUCAUAGGGUUCUUGGGAAAAAACUCUUGGGGGCGAUGAACAAGCAACUGAUUACGACGUCGCAUUUACCGGACGCAUUUCGUUAUAUUGCCUCAUUGGUCUCCUUUGCUGGACGGUGAUUGAUGCCUAGCCUUGGCGUUGUUACGUGCUUUGUAAAUUAAGACCAUG
This 667-nucleotide long non-coding RNA is filed under the name Olea europaea (common olive). Its description in RNAcentral is "long non-coding RNA (OEUR_LNC004552)". The record is from RNAcentral. Lineage: Eukaryota; Viridiplantae; Streptophyta; Magnoliopsida; Lamiales; Oleaceae.